AGCGGCGCAUCCUCUGACACCUUCGUCUAGGAUUAGGUUAAUGCAAAACCGCCUCCCCGGAGCUUCCAGAACCUUUCGGGAGGAGGGGUGCGAUGUGGCAUGAGGCGCGGCGGUCGGAGAGGAAGGUCCACGACCUCAUGGACGGUGCGCGGCGCCGGGCCCAGCGGCGCUACGCCUACCUCGCCCGCCGACGCGGCGAUCCGCACCAGUCCCUCGAGGUUUCCGGUGCCCGGUGCCGCGUCCACCGCGACGACUCACUAUAUCAGGCCACGGAGGACCAGCAGGGAUUGAUACAAUGGAACGGGAAACAAGAUAUUCUGAUUGACAGCUUUCAGUCUUUUCAAACUCAGGAAAAAUCUGAAGAAGAGGAGGAGCUAGAGGAUUUUGUUAAUUUUGAACGUUACCGGGACUUGAUUAAGCAUCGUCAUAGAGGAUUUUCUGAUGAGGUGGAUUUACAACAUGUUGCGCAAGAGUUGGAAGCAAAAGCUAUUCUUCCUUUUAGCUUUGAGAAAUCUCAAUCAUCACAGGCUCCAGUUAGCAAAGGUGCUUAUUCGCAGGUUGGAUACUCAUAUAAAGGGGAUGGAAAUGAACAUUCUGAUGAUCUGCCCAGUGAUGAUGAAGAUGAAGAGGAAGGAGAAGAGGAUGCCAAGGACUUCAGUAGUGAUGAUAGCAGUGAUGAGCAAAUGGAAAACUUAGCAAAGGAAUUUGGCAUAAAAAGAUAUAACUGGCUUGUUUACAUGGACAAAAAGGUCAAAGAAGAGGAGAAGCGGCAGAAAGAAAUUAUUAAAGGCGACCCAUCCAUUAAAAAAUUGAGUCGGAGAGAUAGAAGGAAGGCUUCUCAAUCUGAGAGGGAGCGAGAGAGGGAGGCAGUACGUUCUGUUGGAAGGGUAUCUUAUCGUGACCCUUAUAGGGAACAAAGGAGAAGCCCAUCAUAUGAAGCAUAUUCAAGAGGCAGAAGAUCAAGGUCGCGGUCAAGAUCUCAUUCACCUUCAUCCAGACGUCAUACCCGUGGUACACAUGCUGAAAGUAAUUACCGAAGAAAGGCUAAGACUCCAAGAGUUGAAUACAUCACUGAAUUUGGAGGUUCAGAAGACGCCAGUGAUCUGAAAGUUACAGGGAUCUCUCCGCCUUUGUCUCCAAUACGAACUGACAUACCUAACCGGUCAUCAGGUGUCCAUAUUCUGGAGGCACUUCACAGUGAUCCUGCAUCUUCUUUAUCCAUGGAACAGGAAAAAAGUGCUAAAAUUUUGAAACCACCUGCCAGCACAUUAUCAGCACUAGCGAAACUAAAGGGUGCUUCUGGAGGAUUUGGUAAAACUCCCCAGGCUGAAAAGAAAGAAACACCACAGGAACGCCUUAAAAGGAUAAUGAGCAAACAGCUUAACAAACAAAUUCGUAAAGAUACUGCUGCUGAGACCGCAAAGAAACGAGAACAGGAACGGCAAAGGCAGGAAAAACUUGCAGAAGUAGGUCGAUACAGGCUCCGUAGCAGGAGUAGAAGUCUUAGCCGUUCUCCACCAAGAAAGCGGCAUUAUAGCAGAAGCCAUAGUAGGAGCCAGAGCCCAAGAAGAAACCAUUCACUUUCACUGUCUCGUUCAAGGUCACCCUCUCACUCUCCAAGGUACAGAAGCAGAUCAAGGCACUGAAAGUAUCUCAGAGCUCAUUGGUUGUCUAUGGCACGUGGUGCUUCAUUUUUAUUUACUUGGGCUUCCUGGUGCCCUGUUACUUAUGUACCGAUCAGCGAAGUCCUGGAUCCCAUCAUUGUUGAUAGCGUAGAGUUAGUGUAUUUGUGAUUGUGAUAUUUAUGAGCAGAAUAUCGUUCAAGAGGUGCGCGACUCUCUUCUUGAUUUUUUUAUUAUGUGGGCUGUAUUGUUGAUAGAUUAGGUAUGUGCCAGUUGCUCUAGAGUAUUAGUUGCUCUGGAGUAUUAGGGCUCCUCCGAUGCUGACCCCCAAAUGGGACACCCUAGACUGGUGAGGACUAGUCUGUCACGAACUGGUGAGGACUUGUCUGUGAACAGUGAUGUGAGAGCCUGCUAUCCAAAGUUGUCCCCUAAACUUGCGCCAUGGACUAGGAC
This 2075-nucleotide ribosomal RNA is filed under the name Triticum aestivum (bread wheat). RNAcentral describes it as "partial small subunit ribosomal RNA". Lineage: Eukaryota; Viridiplantae; Streptophyta; Magnoliopsida; Poales; Poaceae. The record is from RNAcentral.